CUAGCGGCGAACGGUCGCGUAACACGUAAGCAACCUGCCCCAAAGUUUGGGAUAACCCACCGAAAGGUGGACUAAUACCGGAUGUGGCCCGUCUGGCGCAUGUCAGAUUGGUUAAAGGAGCAAUCCGCUUUGGGAUGGGCUUGCGGCCUAUCAGCUAGUUGGUGAGGUAACGGCCCACCAAGGCGACGACGGGUAGCUGGCCUGAGAGGGUGGCCAGCCGGAUUGGGACUGAGAUACGGCCCAGACUCCUACGGGAGGCAGCAAUUAGGAAUCUUGCGCAAUGGGCGAAAGCCUGACGCAGCGACGCCGCGUGAGCGAUGAAGUCUUUCGGGAUGUAAAGCUCUGUCCUGCAGGGAAGAAGGAUGUGACGGUACCUGCAGAGAAAGCCCCGGCUAACUACGUGCCAGCAGCCGCGGUAAUACGUAGGGGGCGAGCGUUGUCCGAAUUUACUGGGCGUAAAGCGCGUGUAGGCGGCUCUUUAAGUGAGGUGUGAAAUCCUGUGGCUCAACCACAGAACUGCAUUUCAAACUGGAGAGCUUGAGUUUGGGAGAGGAGAGUGGAAUUCCUGGUGUAGCGGUGAAAUGCGUAGAUAUCAGGAGGAACACCCGUGGCGAAGGCGGCUCUCUGGCCCAACACUGACGCUGAGACGCGAAAGCUAGGGGAGCGAACGGGAUUAGAUACCCCGGUAGUCCUAGCCGUAAACGAUGGACACUAGGUGUUAGUGGUAUCGACCCCACUAGUGCCGUAGCUAACGCAUUAAGUGUCCCGCCUGGGGAGUACGGCCGCAAGGUUGAAACUCAAAGGAAUUGACGGGGGCCCGCACAAGCGGUGGAGCAUGUGGCUUAAUUCGAUACUAACCGAAGAACCUUACCAGGGUUUGACAUCCGCUGUAAGUCCAUGAAAGUGGUUCCCUCCGUAGCAAUACGGACAGCGAGACAGGUGUUGCAUGGCUGUCGUCAGCUCGUGUCGUGAGAUGUUGGGUUAAGUCCCGCAACGAGCGCAACCCUCAUCGGAUGUUGCCAGCAUUCAGUUGGGCACUCUUCCGAAACUGCCCGGGUAACCGGGAGGAAGGUGGGGAUGACGUCAAGUCGGCAUGGCCCUUACGCCUGGGCUGCACACAUGCUACAAUGGCCGUUAACAAAGG
Molecule: ribosomal RNA, 1144 nt
Filed under: uncultured Armatimonadota bacterium
Lineage: Bacteria; Bacillati; Armatimonadota
Description: bacterial SSU rRNA
Rfam family: Bacterial small subunit ribosomal RNA
Source: RNAcentral